Molecule: ribosomal RNA, 383 nt
Filed under: uncultured eukaryote
Lineage: Eukaryota
Description: partial 18S ribosomal RNA
Rfam family: Eukaryotic small subunit ribosomal RNA
Source: RNAcentral
CAAUAGCGUAUAUUAAAGUUGUUGCAGUUAAAAAGCUCGUAGUUGGAUUUCUGGUAGGAGUGACCGUUCCGAACUUGAUUGUUCGUGUAUUGUGUUUUCUCCAGCCAUCCUUGUGGAGAACUUUUCUUGCAUUAAUUUGUAGGGAUUGGGACCCGCAUCGUUUACUGUGAAAAAAUUAAAGUGUUUAAAGCAGGCAAUCGCUUGAAUACAUUAGCAUGGAAUAAUAAGAUAGGACUUUGGUACUAUUUUGUUGGUUUGCAUACCAAAUUAAUGAUCAACAGGAACAGUUUGAGGAUAUUCGUAUGAACAUGUCAGAGGUGAAAUUCUUGGAUUUUGAUCAGACGAACUACUGCGAAAGCAUUUAUCAAGGAUGUUUUCAUUAA